UACGUAGGGUGCGAAGCGUUAAUCGGAAUUACUGGGCGUAAAGCGUGCGCAGGCGGUCUUGCAAGACAGAUGUGAAAUCCCCGGGCUUAACCUGGGAAUGCAUUUGUGACUGCAUGGCUGGAGUGCGGCAGAGGGGGAUGGAAUUCCGCGUGUAGCAGUGAAAUGCGUAGAGAUGCGGAGGAACACCGAUGGCGAAGGCAAUCCCCUGGGCCUGCACUGACGCUCAUGCACGAAAGCGUGGGGAGCAAACAGG
RNAcentral lists this ribosomal RNA (253 nucleotides) under uncultured bacterium. RNAcentral's name for it is "partial 16S ribosomal RNA". It matches the Rfam family "Bacterial small subunit ribosomal RNA", at positions 524 to 776 of the family's 1533-position model. The record is from RNAcentral.